Molecule: long non-coding RNA, 285 nt
Filed under: Camelus dromedarius (Arabian camel)
Lineage: Eukaryota; Metazoa; Chordata; Mammalia; Artiodactyla; Camelidae
Description: lncRNA (ENSCDRG00005002387.1)
Source: RNAcentral
GGGAGGCCGGUCUUGGGGCUCACACAGGCCUAUCCCCGGCGCUGCUGCCAGCUGGCUAAUCUCUUGGCUGGGUUUCCUGGCUGACUCUCUUUGCAAGGAGAGGCCGUGACCAGUCAUGAGGCUUUCCCGAACCUGGGAGAGGGCGCAGAGAGACCCACGGGCCCCAGAGACACUGUCCUUGGGAUUGACGUUGCCUCAGCUCAGACUCUCAAGUCUGUUGAUUACACCAUUAAAUUAGAACAGUGCCUGGGACAUCGGUAAGUAUAUUCUAUUAUUAUCUUUAUU